This 604-nucleotide ribosomal RNA is filed under the name uncultured bacterium. RNAcentral's name for it is "bacterial SSU rRNA". It matches the Rfam family "Bacterial small subunit ribosomal RNA", at positions 338 to 951 of the family's 1533-position model. The record is from RNAcentral.
UCUACGGGAGGCAGCAGUGGGGAAUCUUGUGCAAUGGACGAAAGUCUGACACAGCCACGCCGCGUGCGGGAAGAAGGCCUUCGGGUUGUAAACCGCUUUCAGCAGGAACGAAAAUGACGGUACCUGCAGAAGAAGAUGCGGCCAACUACGUGCCAGCAGCCGCGGUGAUACGUAGGCAUCAAGCGUUGUCCGGAUUUAUUGGGCGUAAAGAGCUCGUAGGCGGUUCAGCAAGUCGGGUGUGAAAACUCUGGGCUUAACCCAGAGCCUGCACUCGAAACUGCUGUGACUAGAGUUCGGUAGGGGAGCAGGGAAUUCCUAGUGUAGCGGCGAAAUGCGCAGAUAUUAGGAGGAACACCAAUGGCGAAGGCACUGCUCUGGGCCGAUACUGACGCUGAGGAGCGAGAGCGUGGGUAGCAAACAGGAUUAGAUACCCUGGUAGUCCACGCCGUAAACGAUGGGCACUAGGUGUGGGUCUCUAACCAACGAGAUCUGCGCCGUCGCUAACGCAUUAAGUGCCCCGCCUGGGGAGUACGGUCGCAAGACUUAAAACUCAAAUUGAAUUGACGGCGNGAGACGNGCCGACGGACGACGACGAGGGAGGAGG